AUGAGAAAACCUUUGGGUCUCGCUAUGUGGGUUUGGCCCUAUAGAGAGGGCAGUGCAUUAUAUAAAGUUUUCAAGACUUCUAGUAAUACAAGGAUGGGCAAAGUGCUGCCUGUGUAUGUGGCCAAUUUUGUGGAACCUGUACCUCUUCAGCUUGGGGAAAAAAAACCCGGGGUAGUGGUUUUAAAAGGUCAUAUUUUGCUCCUCAAAGGGGAAGCUGUAAAAUGGCAUGCCCCCCCUCAGAUUUUAUAUUUUAAAAAUCAAGAUUUUAUUCAUUCACAGCAAUGAAAGGCAGACUUUAAUAUAUGUGACCAAUACUCCCUGCUAUUUCAAACUACAGUAUAAGGAAAACUACAACUUCUUGUGUGUGAAGCAACAGUGCCUCACAGGACAGGAGAAUCCUUUUUAGACUACAGGUAAUAGAAGAACCUGAACAACAUGGCCAGUGAUAAUGGUAGCGGGACGAUUCUGGGACUAAUAGUCUCCCCCCCACCCCCAAAAAAGAAAGAAAAAGAAAGAAAAGAAAUGGAAGAGGAAAAAACUUUUCCAACAAUGUUGGAAUUUUACAGGGAACUCUCUUCAUUAUCUGAAUUCAUGCUACUUUAUAUCAGAAUGGAGAGUACGGUAUAUCUUUUCCUUGCCUUCAUCACAAAAUACAGUAACUCAGUUCUUUGUCUAGUGAUGCCAUGAAUCCAAAAUCUGUUACUCCUGUAUUAUUACUGAGAAGCUUGUUCUGCUAAAACAUAGAAGGGACAUGCUGCUCUCUAGAGGAAGUGGGAAAGCUUGCUUAAAGUGUCCACAUAGAAUCUGCUACAUUUGUGGGACAUCAGCUUUAAGAUUCAGGAUUGGUUUGGUCAGUGUAUGUUCACAGUAAAUGAUAUACACAAUUAUCUAAGAUUGAUUAUGUGAACUUUGCAGGCUCAAAUCAAUUUAUUUUUAAAAAAACUUUAAAGUGAAAAUUGGCUCACCUCUUUGGUAUGUGGUGGAAAGCCAUCUCUAGGUUUUCAGUGUUUAAUCCCAACCUCCCCCCUGCCCCACUAUUUUAUUUUAGCAGAACAAGGAUACAAGUAUAGACAGAGAAUAAAGGGUUUUAAAAAGCACA
This 1099-nucleotide long non-coding RNA is filed under the name Pogona vitticeps (central bearded dragon). RNAcentral's name for it is "lncRNA (ENSPVIG00000022742.1)". Lineage: Eukaryota; Metazoa; Chordata; Lepidosauria; Squamata; Agamidae. The record is from RNAcentral.